CCUGAUCCCAUCCCGAACUCAGUAGUGAAACCAUGCAUCGCCGAUGGUAGUGUGGGGUUUCCCCAUGUGAGAGUAGGUCAUCGUCAAGA
This 89-nucleotide ribosomal RNA is filed under the name Escherichia coli. Lineage: Bacteria; Pseudomonadati; Pseudomonadota; Gammaproteobacteria; Enterobacterales; Enterobacteriaceae. The record is from RNAcentral.